AGAAUCAACGCUGGCGGCGUGCCUAACACAUGCAAGUCGAACGCGAAAGCCCCGCAAGGGGCAAGUAGAGUGGCAAACGGGUGAGUAAUGCGUGGGUGACCUGCCUUCGAGUGGGGGAUAACGUCUCGAAAGGGACGCUAAUACCGCAUGACAUCCUGCUUUUGAACAAGCGGAGAUCAAAGUCGGGGUCGCAAGACCUGACGCUUGAAGAGGGGCCCACGUCCGAUUAGCUAGUUGGUGAGGUAACGGCCCACCAAGGCGACGAUCGGUAGCCGGCCUAAGAGGGCGGACGGCCACACUGGGACUGAGACACGGCCCAGACUCCUACGGGAGGCAGCAGUGGGGAAUUGUUCGCAAUGGGCGCAAGCCUGGACGACGCAACGCCGCGUGGAGGAUGAAGAUCUUCGGUCGUAAACUCCUGUCGAGCGGACGAAUGAUCCGCGACCUAAUACGUCGCGAAGUGACGGUACCGCUAAGGAGAAGCCCCGGACUAACUCCGUGUCAGCAGCCGCGUAA
This 516-nucleotide ribosomal RNA is filed under the name uncultured soil bacterium. RNAcentral's name for it is "bacterial SSU rRNA". It matches the Rfam family "Bacterial small subunit ribosomal RNA", at positions 26 to 522 of the family's 1533-position model. The record is from RNAcentral.